Aethalodelphis obliquidens (Pacific white-sided dolphin) is the source of this 1601-nucleotide long non-coding RNA. RefSeq lists it as uncharacterized. Lineage: Eukaryota; Metazoa; Chordata; Mammalia; Artiodactyla; Delphinidae. The transcript is spliced from 2 exons. The record is from RefSeq and is a predicted model, not a curated record.
UCGGCAGGUGGACUCUCAACAACUGUGCCACCAGGGAAGCCCAAAAGUUGUCCUGGACGGAAGACCUGAGCUUCAAAAGAUGAAUAUACUCUUCAAACUCUGCACCUUGUAUAAUCUGGUUGAAGGACACCUACCUAGGAGAGUGCUGGUUGCAGGAACUGGACGAGGCUCUAUGUUCAAGUAUCCAAGUGAGACUGAGACCAACGGUUUCCAGUUGGGUGGCGCCAGGAGCAGUGGGGCGUCCAAUAUGGGUUACAGACAGCAGCUGAGGAGCUUGUAGGUGUGCUCUCGGUGGCAGAGGGGAAGCCCAGUACAGGGACUCAUCUGUGCUAUCUGUCCAUAGUGGUGUGAACCGGAGUUUAGAAGGCUCUUUGACACCCUGUAAUUUGUCAUGAAAAAGAUCAUAGUUGCCUAUGAAAGGUAGCCAGAUCCUUCCUGUCCUUGAUUUUAGGGUGAAGAGUUGGAUCUUGAUUUCUGUAAAUGACAUGUUUCUUGGGGGCUGGGAGGGGAUAGUUGGGAAAGAGCAUCUAUUAAGUUGAGGAAAAUGCAUGAUUCCCUUGGGUGGUUUGUCCAGUUGGCUGGUGGGAGUGUGUGUGUGUGUGUGUGGUGCAUACAGGUGAGUGAGUGUAUGUGAGAGUGAACAUGAAUGUGUAUAAAUGUGAGGGAGGUAUAGCAGGAGGUGGCCUGUAACACUUACACAGGAAGCUGACUGACCCACCCCAGGCAGUGCAUGCUGGGCUGGUCAGAAAGGCAAGAAGAUGUUCAGUUCUAUUAACCUGUUGUCUUUUACCCAUUUCUUUCCCUACCUCUCCAAAAUGGGUUGAGUUUGGCAGGUAGGACAAGCCUCAAUACAGGCAUACCCGACCUCAUACUGAAGGGUGACCAAUGACCUCUGCCAGAAGAAGGAUCCAGGGGUCAAAGCCUUCCAGGGACUAGAAUAGAGACACCAAGCCCUCACUCAAGCAUCAGCCUGGGCUGGAAUCUGGCCUUCCCAAGAUUCUGUGACGGUGGAAGAGAGCUCAGGGAAGUUGCCGGCUACUGUGGUUUAGUCCCACUGAUUCCAGAAAGGAUUGUUGAGACCUAGAAUGAAGAAGACUCUCUCCAGUCCAGGCAUGGUCUGAGUGACAACGCGCCGUGGCACAUGCCCAGAUUGGUGCAGCUAGAUGCAGCUGAUGGACUUGGCACCCGGCCUCCACUUGCCAUCAGGGCCUCCAAGAAGGAACUGCAAUAUCUCCAGCUAUUUUAGGAUCGAUACAGAAGAUGUUAUUUGUAUUGCCACAGCAUCUGAGGAACGGUACAUAAGGUACGUAAAGUGUCCUGGAGAUGGCCCAGAGCAAAUUCAUCAAACUGAAACUUGAUUUCUUCCAGGCUGAGGAUCUGUGUGUAAAGUCAUGGUGUGGCUUCUGCAAACCCCAGUGCAUCCAGCCAUACCAAUUCCAUAUUCACAGCACACUCUACUAGCCACUCCCAGGAUCAUGCAAAUAAAUUUCCAGUCAUUUGUGGAACCAGCCCAGGGAUAGGGACAGACUAUGCCAUAGACAAGUUUCAUAUGAAAAGAGAUAAAAAUUAUUUUCAAAAUAUAUAAAGUAUCAACACUGUAA